CUGUGGUGGACCUCCCUGGGGCUGUGCCAGGCUGGCUCGACCAGCGCCGGUGUGGCUGAGGUGGAGAAGAGGCAGACUUCCCAAUGAGGGCAAGAAAGAAAUCCUGCCUGGCGAGGAACUUCAGCGACGAGGGCUUUGCAAGUUGUUCUGACAUUUCUAACCUUUUAGCCAAACUGGCUUUCCUCAAAAAUAGUACCGAGAGCCUGAGUUGCUUCUAGUAGCACCCGACGCAGCUGCACGUCUCGAGAGCUGCUGCUGGCAGGGUGGCCCGUGGGGGAUCUGUGCCAGGAUCUGGGGGUUUCUCUCCAAUAUCGCCCUGCUGACCACCUUGCUGUUUUUGGGAACAUGUGUGGGGACAGCGAAGGGGCUGGUGAUGCUGAUUCCUCCCAGGAUUGCUGCUUCUCCUUUCACCGUGGUCAUAGCGAGGAGUUUGCGUGCAGUGGGAAUGGGAAGGCUGGUGGUGUUUUUACGGGGUGGGGUUGGAGACUCUUCCUUGUGGAAACUCUUUGGUCUUCUUGGGUUAUCAGCAACGGGAGAUGCUCUGUGGUGAUCAUCCUGCUCAACACUCGCAGAGACCAGGCACCGACACCAGAACCGCGCCGGGGCUGUCCUGCAAGCGCUGGUGGCAUCGCCUCACAGCUGGGGCUGCAGCCUCCCUCCAGGAUCGUGCCACACCAGCAGUUACAGAGAACAACUGAAAGCACUGUGUCACCCCAGAUCACAGGCGAAGCAUCAUACAGAAGAGAGCCUUGGGCAGUGCUCCCCUUCUUCUCAGGUUUAGUGGGCACCAACAUCUCCCUCAGGACCUGAGCACUGUCCUGGAAAGGUUGUGAAGGGGAAAAUAUCAGCAAAGGCACUAUAGCUAAGGGUGCAUCCGCUUCAGUUCUCUUGGGACUUUCUUUAUCUUUUUCUGAAAUGUUCAUAACCAGCUGUGUUCCUCUCCUUUAUGUAACUGGCCAUCCUGUGAGAGCCCCCAGGGGCUAGAAUUUGAAAAUAACAUUAUUCUUUGUAACCAGGGCGAACUAAUAAUUUGAUGCCAGCCUCAACCUUUCACGAAUAUUCAAGCGUCUGGUUUUGAGGACACAUUAUUUUGGGUGUGGGAUAUGCCAUAGCCUCCAUGUUAUGGCCUAUUGCUAGCAUUUGUCAGAUUGUUGUUGUUGUUGUUCUGUUUGCUCAACUUUGAAGCUUACAGAAAUGUCUUAAGUUUCCAACAGGAGAAAUGGUUACAUUUAAAAAAAAUAUAAAGAUUUCUCCAAAUUUCCAGCUGUCACCCUUGGCAAUCAGAGGGGGAGAGAUUCCGCCAUAAGCAGAUGAAGCCUUUUUCAGUGGUUCAGAUGCCGACUCUCCAUCUCUUCAGCAUCCAGAGCAGUCUGUCUGCAGUGGACUGGAAGUUGUCUCAUCAGACGCGCGGUGCAGCCUCACCACCUGACAUGUUAUGACAAGCUUUUAACUUUUGAGCGGCGAUGGAUGGAAACGUGUCACUGCUUUGGGAGCAGCACAGCACAGGCUGCCAAAAGUAGUUGAUGUUGCAGUGGCAUCAGUCCCUCCAAGGUAGACACCCGUCCCAGCCCUGGUGCUCCAUGAGGGAAGAAGCCAGGAUGCUUCAGGUGGCCUACACAGACCUGAGGCAAAUUAUUUGCUGCAAAUCCCCGUAUUCAUACACAUUUCUCAGGGCCAAAUGCCAACAGUCGAGUUAUUUGGGCUUUUCAGUGAUUGUGUCAUUUUGAUUGAAUAUUCCUCGAGUCCCCAAUUUUCUGACCAACAUCAAUCCCAAUCAGGGCCUCAGAGUCUCCUAUCAAGGCCUAGAAGCUAGUACAAAAUUUAGAGCAAAUGGAGAAAAAGAAACAUUGGUGACAGGUCGCCUGUGGUUUGAAAGAGCAAGAGCUGUCCUUCCUGGCAGGCUGCCUUUUUCUAUCUGCAAUCUGUCCUACAAAGUGGAUGGGAGAUAACUCACUGGCAGAUCCCUCCCCUGUGCUCAUAAAAGAGGUUUUAAUUUACCGGUGUUAGCUUGGCACUACUGAGCAAUAUUGGAAUGACAACUCCCAUCACGCUCAAUGCACUUCCAAAACAUAUUAAUAAACUUAUAAAAGGAAAUGGAGCUGAGGAUUCA
Molecule: long non-coding RNA, 2110 nt
Organism: Anser cygnoides (Swan goose)
Lineage: Eukaryota; Metazoa; Chordata; Aves; Anseriformes; Anatidae
Source: Ensembl